RNAcentral lists this transfer RNA (77 nucleotides) under Burkholderia sp. Bp9125. RNAcentral's name for it is "tRNA-Met". It matches the Rfam family "tRNA". From Rfam's summary of the family: Transfer RNA (tRNA) molecules are approximately 80 nucleotides in length. Their secondary structure includes four short double-helical elements and three loops (D, anti-codon, and T loops). The record is from RNAcentral. Lineage: Bacteria; Pseudomonadati; Pseudomonadota; Betaproteobacteria; Burkholderiales; Burkholderiaceae.
GGAGAUGUAGCUCAGCUGGUCAGAGCAUCGGACUCAUAAUCCGGGGGCCACGGGUUCGAAUCCCGUCUUCUCCACCA